RNAcentral lists this ribosomal RNA (706 nucleotides) under Contracaecum sp. Weddell seal isolate De11-1. Its description in RNAcentral is "LSU rRNA". It matches the Rfam family "Eukaryotic large subunit ribosomal RNA", at positions 103 to 645 of the family's 3401-position model. Lineage: Eukaryota; Metazoa; Nematoda; Chromadorea; Rhabditida; Anisakidae. The record is from RNAcentral.
AAAAGCCCAGCGCUGAAUCCAUCGGCCACUGGUCGCUUGGAGUUGUAGCGUAUAGGUGCGGCUGUCUGAUCGUGUCGCGCACCCAAAGUCCCCUUGAGCGGGGCCACUGUCCGAAGAAGGUGCUAGACCUGUACGGGUGGCGAGACGGUUGGUUGGUCGCUCCUUGGAGUCGGGUUGCCUGGGAUCGCAGCCCAAAGUUGGUGGUAGACCUCAUCUAAGGCUAAAUAUGGCCACGAAACCGAUAGCAAACAAGUACCGUGAGGGAAAGUUGCAAAGAACUUUGAAGAGAGAGUUCAAGAGGGCGUGAAACCGCUGAGAUGGAAACGGAUAGAGUUGACGGAGCUCUGCUGCAUUCACCCGAUCGGCCUAGCGGUCCAAUGGCUUUGACUUCCUCGAUGAGGGCAAGGCUGCUGGUAACUGUUGGGUAUUUGAUCGGUGUAUUUGCGGCUGGUAUGCGCUGAGGGCUUUGUGAGCGCAUGUUGACGGGCGUGGAGUGGACCAUACCUUUCCGGUGUGGAACCCUUCGCGCUCUUAGGCAUGUCGUUUGUAAAGUUUCAAAAGUGCCGUCUCCGCUAUGGUGCAUCGGUUUUGUCGAGCUGUUGUGGCUUCAGGCUGGUCGCAUGCGACCGUCGGUCGUCGUCAAUGGUCCGUCAAAGCACAGAUGCGCCGAGACGUGCACCUCGGUGUGAACGUUGACCACCUAUCC